RNAcentral lists this ribosomal RNA (497 nucleotides) under uncultured bacterium. RNAcentral describes it as "partial 16S ribosomal RNA". It matches the Rfam family "Bacterial small subunit ribosomal RNA", at positions 28 to 507 of the family's 1533-position model. The record is from RNAcentral.
GACGAACGCUGGCGGCGUGCUUAACACAUGCCAGUAGAACGCUGAAGGCAGGAUCUUGCUCUUUCUGGAUGAGUUGCGAACGGGUGAGUAACGCGUAGGUAACCUGCCUGGUAGCGGGGGAUAACUAAUGGAAACGAUAGCUAAUACUGCAUAAAACUGAUUAUUGCAUGAUAGUCAAUUAAAAGGUGCAACUGCACCACUACCAGAUGGUCCUGCGUUGUAUUAGCUAGUUGGUGGGGUAACGGCGCACCAAGGCGGCGAUACAUAGCCGACCUGAGAGGGUGGGCGGCCGCACUGGGAGGGGGACACGGCCCAGAGUGCUUCGGGAGGCAGCAGUAGGGAAUCGGCGGCAAUGGGCGGAAGUCUGACCGAGCAGCGCCGCGUGAGUGAAGAAGGUUGUCGGAUCGGAGAGCUCUGUUGUAAGGGAAGAACGAGUGUGAGAGUGGAAAGUACACACUGUGACGGUAUCUUACCAAAAAGGGACGGCUAACUACGUG